RNAcentral lists this ribosomal RNA (292 nucleotides) under Sporosarcina newyorkensis. Its description in RNAcentral is "partial 23S rRNA. Bacterial LSU". It matches the Rfam family "Bacterial large subunit ribosomal RNA", at positions 2635 to 2925 of the family's 2925-position model. Lineage: Bacteria; Bacillati; Bacillota; Bacilli; Caryophanales; Caryophanaceae. The record is from RNAcentral.
UCCCUAUCCGUCGCGGGCGCAGGAAAUUUGAGAAGAGCUGUCCUUAGUACGAGAGGACCGGGAUGGACAUACCGCUGGUGUACCAGUUGUCUUGCCAAAGGCAUCGCUGGGUAGCUAUGUAUGGACGGGAUAAAUGCUGAAAGCAUCUAAGCAUGAAGCCCCCUUCAAGAUGAGAUUUCCCAUUACGCAAGUAAGUAAGAUCCCUCAAAGAUGAUGAGGUGGAUAGGUCUGGGGUGGAAGCACGGCGACGUGUGCAGCUGACAGAUACUAAUCGAUCGAGGACUUAACCUAU